AUUGAACGCUGGCGGCAUGCCUUACACAUGCAAGUCGAACGGUAACAGCUCUUCGGAGGCUGACGAGUGGCGAACGGGUGAGUAAUACAUCGGAACGUGCCCGAUCGUGGGGGAUAACGGAGCGAAAGCUUUGCUAAUACCGCAUACGAUCUACGGAUGAAAGCAGGGGACCCUCGGGCCUUGCGCGAACGGAGCGGCCGAUGGCAGAUUAGGUAGUUGGUGGGAUAAAAGCUUACCAAGCCGACGAUCUGUAGCUGGUCUGAGAGGACGACCAGCCACACUGGGACUGAGACACGGCCCAGACUCCUACGGGAGGCAGCAGUGGGGAAUUUUGGACAAUGGGCGAAAGCCUGAUCCAGCAAUGCCGCGUGCAGGAUGAAGGCCUUCGGGUUGUAAACUGCUUUUGUACGGAACGAAAAGUCCCGGGAUAACACCCCGGGACCAUG
This 446-nucleotide ribosomal RNA is filed under the name uncultured bacterium. RNAcentral describes it as "bacterial SSU rRNA". It matches the Rfam family "Bacterial small subunit ribosomal RNA", at positions 30 to 482 of the family's 1533-position model. The record is from RNAcentral.